ACUCCUACGGGAGGCAGCAGUGGGAAUAUUGGACAAUGGGGAACCCGUAGCAUCCAGCCAUGCCGCGUGUGUGAAGAAGGCCUUCGGGUUGUAAAGCACUUUCAGUGGGGAGGAAAGGUUGAUGGUUAAUACCUAUCAGCUGUGACGUUACCCACAGAAGAAGCACCGGCUAACUCCGUGCCAGCAGCCGCGGUAAUACGGAGGGUGCAAGCGUUAAUCGGAAUUACUGGGCGUAAAGCGUGCGCAGGCGGUCUGUUAAGCGAGAUGUGAAAGCCCGG
This 278-nucleotide ribosomal RNA is filed under the name uncultured bacterium. RNAcentral's name for it is "partial 16S ribosomal RNA". It matches the Rfam family "Bacterial small subunit ribosomal RNA", at positions 335 to 605 of the family's 1533-position model. The record is from RNAcentral.